RNAcentral lists this ribosomal RNA (324 nucleotides) under uncultured bacterium. RNAcentral describes it as "bacterial SSU rRNA". It matches the Rfam family "Bacterial small subunit ribosomal RNA", at positions 28 to 334 of the family's 1533-position model. The record is from RNAcentral.
GAUGAACGCUGGCGGCGUGCUUAACACAUGCAAGUCGAGCGAAGCGAUAAGGUGAAAUUUUUCGGAAUGAAGCCAUAUUGACUUAGCGGCGGACGGGUGAGUAACGCGUGGGUAACCUGCCUCAUACAGGGGGAUAACAGUUAGAAAUGACUGCUAAUACCGCAUAAGCGCACGGGACUGCAUGGUCCAGUGUGAAAAACCGAGGUGGUAUGAGAUGGACCCGCGUCUGAUUAGCUGGUUGGCGGGGUAACGGCCCACCAAGGCGACGAUCAGUAGCCGACCUGAGAGGGUGGCCGGCCACAUUGGGACUGAGACACGGCCCAA